ACUGAUGGCAGCGCAGUUCUACAUCAAUUAGUAUGUACUCCGUACUGUCCAUUACUUCGGGGCAAACCCCUACCCACACCAUCGGGCUUCCCCGGCCAUGGAUUAUGGCACUUCUCCGUAUUUGAGUGUAUUCUUGAACGGGGCUGAGGGGGGGAGGGGAAGGGCGGUUGAUUGAUUGGUUUAUGUUUUUGUUUCGGCUACCGAACGUGUGUAUAUGCAUAUAUAAGACUUCAAAACUCGAGAACAGGAAGGAAAAAUCUGCUCGGAUUACAAAUUACAGAUCCAUGUAGCGGACAAAACUCGGGAGACUUUCCAAGAGGUACGCAGGGUUCUCGUAGUCAGGAUUCUGCUUUGAGCUACAGCAACUACAGACUGAAUGGCAUGUGCCGAGUGCUGUCCAGGAAUUGGAUGAGAAGACCGGUCUUCCCGAUGAGCAUUCUGGAAGGAAAGAUGGGCUAUUCCAAGAAAAGCUACGCGGCAUCAGCAAAAAGAAGCUUUCUUAGAGAAGAAAAAGACAGCAAUGCGUCGUGAACAAGUUGGAAGAAAUUCACUAACAAAAAUAAAUCCAGGCUAACCUUCCUGGUGAACGACAUUCUGAGUGUACUGCGGUAGUCCAUGAAUACUCGUACAUAUAUGUAUGUAACCCUGCUUCUAGCUAAAAGAGGAGGAAGAAGCGAGUGUUGGUUCAUGCUCAAUACAAAUACGGAAAACACGGAAGAUGCUGGACGCAGGCCAUACUACAGCAUUUUACCGCUAGUCAAGGGAUACGACGAUAAUUGAUCAUCCCGCGAGACCUAACCGACCGCCUCCACUCCCAAGUAUGGCGAUGGGAGGGAGAAAGUUCAUCUUUUGGGCGUUCUGAGUAGACG
Molecule: small RNA, 869 nt
Filed under: Histoplasma capsulatum
Lineage: Eukaryota; Fungi; Ascomycota; Eurotiomycetes; Onygenales; Ajellomycetaceae
Also listed under: 1 other name
Description: hypothetical RNA
Source: RNAcentral